RNAcentral lists this ribosomal RNA (403 nucleotides) under bacterium. RNAcentral describes it as "partial 16S ribosomal RNA". It matches the Rfam family "Bacterial small subunit ribosomal RNA", at positions 355 to 776 of the family's 1533-position model. The record is from RNAcentral.
UGGGGAAUCUUGCACAAUGGGGGAAACCCUGAUGCAGCGACGCCGCGUGAGCGAUGAAGGUUUUCGAAUCGUAAAGCUCUGUCCUAUGGGAAGAUAAUGACGGUACCAUAGGAGGAAGCCCCGGCUAACUACGUGCCAGCAGCAGCGGUAAUACGUAGGGGGCGAGCGUUGUCCGGAAUUACUGGGCGUAAAGGGUUCGCAGGCGGCAUGACAAGUCCGAUGUAAAAGGCGAAAGCUCAACUUUCGUAAGCAUCGGAAACUGUCAAGCUUGAGUGAAGGAGAGGCAAGUGGAAUUCCUAGUGUAGCGGUGGAAUGCGUAGAUAUUAGGAGGAAUACCGGUGGCGAAGGCGACUUGCUGGACUUCAACUGACGCUGAGGAACGAAAGCGUGGGUAGCAAACAGG